RNAcentral lists this ribosomal RNA (472 nucleotides) under uncultured bacterium. RNAcentral's name for it is "bacterial SSU rRNA". It matches the Rfam family "Bacterial small subunit ribosomal RNA", at positions 355 to 825 of the family's 1533-position model. The record is from RNAcentral.
UGGGGAAUAUUGGACAAUGGGCGAAAGCCUGAUCCAGCCAUGCCGCGUGUGUGAAGAAGGUCUUCGGAUUGUAAAGCACUUUAAGUUGGGAGGAAGGGCAGUAACUUAAUACGUUGCCGUCUUGACGUUACCGACAGAAUAAGCACCGGCUAACUCUGUGCCAGCAGCCGCGGUAAUACAGAGGGUGCAAGCGUUAAUCGGAAUUACUGGGCGUAAAGCGCGCGUAGGUGGUUUGUUAAGUUGGAUGUGAAAGCCCCGGGCUCAACCUGGGAACUGCAUUCAAAACUGACAAGCUAGAGUAUGGUAGAGGGUGGUGGAAUUUCCUGUGUAGCGGUGAAAUGCGUAGAUAUAGGAAGGAACACCAGUGGCGAAGGCGACCACCUGGACUGAUACUGACACUGAGGUGCGAAAGCGUGGGGAGCAAACAGGAUUAGAUACCCAGGUAGUCCCUGAGCGGGCUGGCAAGGCGCAU